This 253-nucleotide ribosomal RNA is filed under the name uncultured bacterium. Its description in RNAcentral is "partial 16S ribosomal RNA". It matches the Rfam family "Bacterial small subunit ribosomal RNA", at positions 524 to 776 of the family's 1533-position model. The record is from RNAcentral.
UACGUAGGGUGCAAGCGUUAAUCGGAAUUACUGGGCGUAAAGCGUGCGCAGGCGGUUUUUUAAGCCCUAUGUGAAAUCCCCGGGCUCAACCUGGGAAUGGCAUUUGGGACUGCAAGGCUGGAGUUUGGCAGAGGAGACUGGAAUUCCUGGUGUAGCAGCGAAAUGCGUAGAUAUCAGGAGGAAUACCGAUGGCGAAGGCAGGUCUCUGGGCUAUAACUGACGCUCAUGCACGAAAGCGUGGGGAGCAAACAGG